CCAAGUGGAACUGUUCACUUAGUUUCACAUACUACUACUCAACAAUCUUGGGAUGGCAGUGUGAUGUAUGUCUGCUGGCUUCAGGCCUCAUUGUUAAUAAGGAUGAGACUCCAGCAGUGUGGCUACAGACUGGCCACUAGAUGGCACAUUACCUCUGUACUUGGUUGGUCCCUGGCACCCUAAUAGAAAACAAAACAAAACAAAAAACAACCACUGGGAGGUGGCAGGAUAUUGGGAUUCCAGAACUCAUCUUGGAAAAUUCAUUUACCAGUUUUCCAAAUUUACAAUCUCUCAGUCCAUACUUUGUUACUAAGACCAAGACAGUGUAUCAAUUUUCUUCUAAAACCUAUUCCAUUAUGCUAAAUGAACAUUUAAAAAGCCACAGAACCCUCUGAAGGCAUCUAGUUUACACUAAGACCCUAGAGCAGUAGUGACAAAUACAGUUAUCGCAAACAUUAUGUGUAAUGACAUCCAAUUGUAGUGAUCAUACACAGAAAAAAAAUUUAAACAAGAAUUUAUUUCUUAAAUUUAAAGGAUUAGAGCGGAUACAUAGGCAACGUUUACAAUAACAUUUAGAGUUAUGUCAACAUAAGACCAAUAGCUAUGGUAACAAUUAGCACAUGCAAUUCACUGUAGAGGUAAAAAUACUUUCUCUAGACAAGCCUUCUACACGAAGGUAGACUACGUAGGGGUAAAAGAGCGAGUGAACUUGAGAGGAUUGCACUUACAAGUAAAAGGGACAUAGCUAAGAUAUAAAGAGGAUACAUACCUAAUGCUAAUCACUGUAUUGUAGUACUAGCAAAUUGCACACUUAUUUAGAGUAUAUUCAAUAAACAUGUUAAGACUAAAGAAUUUUCAAAUAACUGCCUUUAAAGUAACCAUCUGACAUCACAUUUUGGUAUUCAUGUUACACCACUUGAAACAUGUAGUUACCAUUCAGACAAAACUGGUCUUUAAGGGAUAAAAGAUGUAGAACAUUUCUCUCCAUGGUCUUCAAUGCAUUUUCAUCAUUAACUUUAAAGCACUUGAUAAUGAAGUUAAACUAGCCCACCUGAAGGAGCUACUGAUGGCAAAAAGCUCUUAAAAAUUUAGGAACAAAUGGACAACACAAGAGCUCAUCCCAGGUUGUCUUCUUUUUCUUUUUAACGAAAUGUAUAGUAGAAUAUCACACUACUGCAUAAUAGUAGCACAUACAAAAAAAAGAUUAAUCCAAAAGACAGUACAUUUGGCUCUAGAAAGUUGUUUUGACUUGCAUCCAAAUUCUGUUUAUAAAUAUUCUGAAAAGGAACUGCUGUCAAAGACCAGUCGCUACUUUAUACCUUCUUUUAAAAAUAAAAUUGGGUCAUUGUCAUGGAUUUCAAAGUUUUUUUUUUUUUUAGUUAUGUCUUCUCUCAGCAUAGGGCUUGCUUGAACCUAUAACCCCAAGAUCAAGAGUCACAUGCUUUUCUGAGCCAGCCAGGCAUCCCGACCAUGACCAAUUUUAGGUUAAACAUAAAUAGCUUGCCAUUUUAUGGCUCCAUAUUCUCAUUUUAUAGAAAAGUGCAAUAAUUUUUUUUAAAGCAAUCUUGGGGAGAAUUGAACACGACCUGCAACAGAAAGCUAUCCCAGUAAUUUUUAACAACUGAACUUUAAAAUUUUUAUGUAGCUUAUUAUAUUGACAUUUUACCCAUUUCAACAAAACAACAGAAGUGUAUGGUUUAAAAAUUUGUUCUUAAACCAAACAUAGGAGAAUGAUGUGGAAUAUAACAGAACGGAGGAAGAGCUCCUCCACUUGAUUUAUGCUUGGUACAAUAUGUGCCAGUGAAAAGAAAUAUUUUAGGGAAUUGUACAACAGGAUUAUUCUACUUCUACAUUGGUCAUGAUUUUAAUUAGUUAACUAUGUGGAUAGAAACUAACCAUUUUUAAAAAUUUGGUUUCUACUUACAAAGCUAUUUUAGCUGUUCUACUUUAAGGAUGAGCUUUCAUAAAUUAAUGUUUUACAAGUAUAUUUCUACUUGAUUAACCUUUAACUUCACAGUAAGCUAGGAAGACCAGGUAACUUCAUGUGUAAAGUUGCAAUUAAAUGAACAGUUAGGUAGAUGUGAACACAGAAUAUAUGAAUGGUUUUGCUUUUUACCCUGCUUCUACUUACACAAUAUGUUCUUGAGUGCCGUGACUGAUCAGUGCUGGCUUGAAGUAGGGUACCAACAUACCAGUAACUAAUAGUCAAAUUAUAACAAUACAUGUGGCAUAUACGCUUAUUUUUUAAUCCUGUAUGAGCGCAUCAGAAGCAGUGAAUUAGUUUUGUCUACAGAGAGGCUUUUUUUCUGAUGUGCCAGUGUUACUUUAAAGGAAAUUUUGGGAUACUAAACAUCUGAGUAACCCAUCCACUGCUUAUAUAUAGACUAAUUUUCACAUAAACCAGAUCCACUUCUCUGCUUACCUAAAAUACAAUUUACAUGCCUCAAAACAAAUUAUCCUAAGACAUGGCUCAGGAAGUUUCAUGAAUGCUUGUCUUUAUCUGGGCAAAAGAUGUACAUCAUAUACUGGUAAUCCAAUCUACAUUUUUCUGAUUGGAUUAUCUGUAUAGUAACAAUCUAGUAUGUGUAAAGUGCUCUUGCAGCUGGGAGGCAUUCACUCAGGGUACCAUUUUCUAUACAAGUUUUCCACCAAUAGGGUUGCUUAUAUAAUGUUCUUUCUUAAAUGACUUCAUUCUCCUCCCCCUUAGAUUAGGAGUCUGCAUAUUCUAAGUGCUCCCCAUGUACAAACUUCACACUUGAAUUCUUUGUAACACUGCUGUUUAUCAUGAGGAAAGUUAUAGCUGAACAUGAUGACAAUAACAUGACUACUUACUUGGAGGAAAUGAAAAAUAUAACUGAUAAAAACUUCUUGACAGAUUCUUAGCAAGAUAAAUCCAAUCCUGAUUUGGAUCAGGCUUUGACCAACUUAAAUGGUGGCGGUGACAUUAUCUUAAAGUGUGACUUCUCUGUAGAUUUCUCUGUGCCCAGUCUUCCUCAUCUACUUCUCAUCCUGUCUUUCUACCAAUCUCAUGUUGCACCUGCCCUGUAUCACAAAGACCCUGUGUAUGAAAGAACUCUGAAACACAUCAAGCAAGAAUACAAAGUAUAAAAUGUUAACAGGAAGUCUAAUAUGUACAGAAUCAUAUAUAAUGAGCAGAAUUAGAUUUCAACUGUAAAUGUAGAGCAACUUCUUUUAGCCUUUUAUUCUUGAAUAACCUAUAAACCAUUUUAAGUGGGCCUGGUUUUUGUGACUUAAAUAUGACAAAAAACUGUAACAUACUUUCUGCAAAACUACUUGAUAACACUAGUCAACUACUAAUGACGUAUCAAAAAUUUUCACUUAGCCCCUGUCUUUAGCCCUUGCCUCCUAUCAAAUGUGGUGGGUAGGGUAGGGCAUAAAUGUGAAAGUGUGGUUAGUGCUAAACUCUGGAGCCCUGGCUCACUUCUCUCUGGGAAGAAGAGAACUUGUGGGAAGAGGUUUAAAGUCUCUUUAAAUCACAAUGUGGAACUAAGUUCCACCUACCUCAGACCUAGCAGGUGUUAAAAUACUAUCUCAUCAUUAAGUGCCUCCACAACAGGGUGUUCCCUGUGAUAUUAACUAACAUCAAUAUGUACAUUUUUGGAUAGGGUUUUAUUUUGGUAAGUAGUGCCCAUGUGUUCUCAGUUUGCUUCGAACAUCUAGAAAAAAAAAACCUUCCAAUCUUGGCCUACUUAAAAACAAAGCAUAUUAAAACACAUUUUAAGUUGAAGAUAUAUUGUAUAAAGUGCUUCAUCAACCAAAUUCUCUAAAGUUUUAACAAAAAGGGUCAAUGUUUAUAUAUACAGAAAAAUGGCGAGUCUAUAAAUGGCAAAGAAUUUUUAAAAUGGUUAAGCUACUUUGGCAUUCAUUGCUAGUUUUUUAACUGGGCACUCUUAACUGCUGAAUUUGUGAAAUGGAUCUUCAAACAGAUUGUGAAUAACAACAUAAAGCAAAUUUUUGAAAAUUUAGUUACGAUAUAAAUGUUCAAAAAUAUAUUUUUUAAUCUGCAAAAUUAAAACUCUAGAAUUCCAUUUAUCUAGUAGCUGGCAUCAUUACACCAACAGAAGAGAAUGUCUAAUAUUUCAUGUUGGCAAGAUUGUAAUUCAACCCACUGUUUUUUUUUGCUUUUGGUCAGACAACAAAAACUGGGUUCAUACAGUUAUGCUACCUAAUACUCUCCUUACGCUGUCAGCUAAAGUAGAGGGUCUAGACCUUGCUCAUCUAAUUUUUUAUCUUAAGUCCAUCUCAGCCACUUUAUUUGGUGACUAUUCUCAUUAAAAUCAGUAGAGCUGUGCUAAAUACAUCACUGCUUAUUAUUUAAAGACCAUCUGUUGUCUAGCUACAGAAAAUUUUACUUUAUAAAUUUCAGACAAGCUUUCUGUUUUUCUUCAGUGCAAACAUCCUGAAACAGCACAAAAUCAUUCAGCUAUUCAGAGGAUGAAGUCAGUUUAUGUAGUGCUUGAAAGUAGAAUCCCAGAUAUUCUGGAAGGGAAACAGCCCAUGUGGGAGGACAGUUUACUGUUGUCCUUAAGGGCAAAUGAUCAUCUUCAGUGAGCGAAGAUUAUUUUUCUCUGAAAUAACAGUUAAAGUUAGCUUUAGUUUACAGGUACUGGUGAAGUUUUAACAGGAACCGGUCUUUCACUGAGGCAUGUAGCCACCUCGUCUGACAGUUUGUGGUAAGUAGCUUUUAGACAUUCCUUCAUCAACUGCAGCCUCCGUCCCAACUGUUUCAAAUCUCUCUACCUGUCCCUCAGUAUGUAGACCAAAAGCAUCUGCUACAGAAAUUUCUUGAAACAUUUUCAUUUGCCCAGAUCCACAGGACUGUGAAAUAUCUGAAAUCUGCUGUUUGAGUCUAACAAAAUCUUCUUCAUUGACUGACGAAACUUGCUUUGACCUUUCAAAAUGUGAAAUAUCUGGACUGGUUUCACGUUGACUGCAGUUUUGUUUGAAAUACUGUUGCCUGGGCAAAUUGCCAGCACUGCUAUCUGUGUUAUCUACCAGCUGUAGAUCUUCUGGCCGCUCUUCAGAAUCUAACAAGGGCUGGGUGGACUCGGAUCUUGAGAAGACUUGGACCGAUGGAACCUGGUGUCUGUAGCCACUGUGCACCACUGUGGAAUACUGGACGGUGCCUGAAGUGUUCUGAGCAGACUCAUUUUCAUCACUGCUAGAAAUGCUUGGCCUAGAGGAGGACAUGCACGAUGAACCUCCAAUACCACUGCUGUGUCCUUCAGUACUGAUUUUUUCCUUCUUGAAUAAGUCCAGUGAUUUCAGAUCUUCUGGA
RNAcentral lists this long non-coding RNA (5299 nucleotides) under Lynx pardinus (Iberian lynx). The record is from RNAcentral. Lineage: Eukaryota; Metazoa; Chordata; Mammalia; Carnivora; Felidae.